This 705-nucleotide small RNA is filed under the name Pan troglodytes (chimpanzee). RNAcentral describes it as "processed transcript". Lineage: Eukaryota; Metazoa; Chordata; Mammalia; Primates; Hominidae. The record is from RNAcentral.
AAAGAGUCACACAGAUGACUGGGCUCCUGGGCCUUUCUCCAGUAAGCCACAGAGGAGUCAGCUGCAAAUAUUCUCUUCUGUUCUACAGACCUCUCUCCUCUUCCUGCUCAUGGAGUGAAAGAAAGAAGGCUAGCUCAAGGAGUCUAGCUGCUCCUCUAAGUCCCUCUUCUAUCUCUGCAGGACUAAGAGCCUCUGGAAGGGACUCAGCCCCAACAGUGGUGUCAGGGAUCCUAGGGGGUUCCGUGACUCUCCCCCUAAACAUCUCAGUAGACACAGAGAUUGAGAACGUCAUCUGGAUUGGUCCCAAAAAUGCUCUUGCUUUCGCACGUCCCAAAGAAAAUGUAACCAUUAUGGUCAAAAGCUACCUGGGCCGACUAGACAUCACCAAGUGGAGUUACUCCCUGUGCAUCAGCAAUCUGACUCUGAAUGAUGCAGGAUCCUACAAAGCCCAGAUAAACCAAAGGAAUUUUGAAGUCACCACUGAGGAGGAAUUCACCCUGUUCGUCUAUGAGCAGCUGCAGGAGCCCCAAGUCACCAUGAAGUCUGUGAAGGUGUCUGAGAACUUCUCCUGUAACAUCACUCUAAUGUGCUCCGUGAAGGGGGCAGAGAAAAGUGUUCUGUACAGCUGGACCCCAAGGGACCCCCAUGCUUCUGAGUCCAAUGGAGGCUCCAUUCUUACCAUCUCCCGAACACCAUGUGACCCAG